AGAGUUUGAUCAUGGCUCAGGAUGAACGCUAGCUACAGGCUUAACACAUGCAAGUCGAGGGGCAGCAUGGUCUUAGCUUGCUAAGGCCGAUGGCGACCGGCGCACGGGUGAGUAACACGUAUCCAACCUGCCGUCUACUCUUGGACAGCCUUCUGAAAGGAAGAUUAAUACAAGAUGGCAUCAUGAGUCCGCAUGUUCACACGAUUAAAGGUAUUCCGGUAGACGAUGGGGAUGCGUUCCAUUAGAUAGUAGGCGGGGUAACGGCCCACCUAGUCUUCGAUGGAUAGGGGUUCUGAGAGGAAGGUCCCCCACAUUGGAACUGAGACACGGUCCAAACUCCUACGGGGCGCAGCAG
RNAcentral lists this ribosomal RNA (355 nucleotides) under uncultured bacterium. Its description in RNAcentral is "bacterial SSU rRNA". It matches the Rfam family "Bacterial small subunit ribosomal RNA", at positions 8 to 354 of the family's 1533-position model. The record is from RNAcentral.